RNAcentral lists this ribosomal RNA (459 nucleotides) under uncultured bacterium. RNAcentral describes it as "partial 16S ribosomal RNA". It matches the Rfam family "Bacterial small subunit ribosomal RNA", at positions 29 to 523 of the family's 1533-position model. The record is from RNAcentral.
AACGAACGCUGGCGGCAGGCCUAACACAUGCAAGUCGAACGUGAAGCCACCUUCGGGUGGUGGAAAGUGGCAGACGGGUGAGUAACGCGUGGGAACGUGCCUUUCGGUUCGGAAUAACCCAGGGAAACUUGGGCUAAUACCGGAUACGCCCUUCGGGGGAAAGAUUCAUCGCCGAAAGAUCGGCCCGCGUCGGAUUAGCUAGUUGGUAGGGUAAUGGCCUACCAAGGCGACGAUCCGUAGCUGGUCUGAGAGGAUGACCAGCCACACUGGGACUGAGACACGGCCCAGACUCCUACGGGAGGCAGCAGUGGGGAAUAUUGGACAAUGGGCGAAAGCCUGAUCCAGCCAGGCCGCGUGGGUGAAGAAGGCCCUAGGGUUGUAAACCCCUUUCAGCGGGGAAGAUAAUGACGGUACCCGCAGAAGAAGCCCCGGCUAACUCCGUGCCAGCCGCCGCGGUAA